CGAACGCUGGCGGCGUGCUUAACACAUGCAAGUCGAACGGUGAAGCGCCUUCCUUUUUGGUGGGUGUGGAUGAGUGGCGAACGGGUGAGUAACACGUGAGUAACCUGCCCCCUUCUUCUGGAUAACCGCAUGAAAGUGUGGCUAAUACGGGAUAUUCUGGGUCUGUCGCAUGAUGGGUCUGGGAAAGAUAUUGUUUCGGUGGGGGAUGGGCUCGCGGCCUAUCAGCUUGUUGGUGGGGUGAUGGCCUACCAAGGCGGUGACGGGUAGCCGGCCUGAGAGGGUGGACGGUCACACUGGGACUGAGACACGGACCAGACUCCUACGGGAGGCAGCAGUGGGGAAUAUUGCACAAUGGGCGCAAGCCUGAUGCAGCGACGCCGCGUGAGGGAUGGAGGCCUUCGGGUUGUGAACCUCUUUCGCCAGUGAAGCAGGCCUGCCUCGUUUGUGGGUGGGUUGACGGUAGCUGGAUAAGAAGCGCCGGCUAACUACGUG
Molecule: ribosomal RNA, 492 nt
Filed under: uncultured bacterium
Lineage: Bacteria
Description: partial 16S ribosomal RNA
Rfam family: Bacterial small subunit ribosomal RNA
Source: RNAcentral